UCUGAGACGGCGCUGCUUUACUCCUGAAAGUCUAUUAAGUACGAUGGCUUCUUCUUCUAGGGCUGUUGGAUCGAGGAAGCAUGACGUUUUCCUCAGUUUCUGCGGCGAGGACACCCGGACAACAUUUACCAGUACUUUGCAUGGAGUUUUGAAGCGGGAAAAUAUAGAUGUUUUCACUGAUCAUGAACUUGACAGAGGAGAGAAGAUUUCGUUGUCUCUUGUGACUGCAAUUGAAGAAGCAAUGAUUUCAGUUAUAAUUUUCUCGAAAGGUUAUGCGUCUUCAAGAUGGUGUCUUGAAGAACUUGUGAAGAUCAUGGAGUGCAAGAAAACGCAAAAACAGGCGAUAAUACCAGUUUUCUAUCACAUAGAUCCGUCAGAAGUAAGGAAUCAAACUGGAACUUUUGGAGAUGGAUUUGCCAGGCUUGUAGGAAGUUUUCAUGAGGAGAAACUAAAGAAGCUACAAAUGACAGAAGAACAAUUCAAGGAAAAGGUUCAGGCAUGGAAGAACGCUUUGACAGACGCAGCCAACAUAUCAGGCAGGACAUCGAAUCAGAAAACGACUAAUUAUUAUCUUGCGCAGAAAGUUUUUGAAGAUGUUUUGAAGAUCUUAAAUUUCUUGUCCCCAAGUAAUAACGACAAGAAAUUGGUUGGGUUAGAAUCAGUCAUUCACAAAAUUGUGUCUUUAUUGCAAAUUGGAUUGCCAAAUGUUAACAUUGUAGGAAUUUGGGGAAUGCGUGGUAUAGGAAAGACAACUAUUGCAAAGAGUGUAUUUGAUAACAUAAGCAAUCAGUUUGAUGGUUCAUACUUUGCUAGAAAUAUUAGGGAAGAAUCAACAAGUCCUUAUGGAUUAACUCCAAUGCGGCGAGAACUGCUUUCUACUUUAUUAGAGAAUCCUAUUGGCUUCAAAAAAGGAAGGCUUGGUCGUAGAAGAGUUCUUAUUGUUUUUGAUGAUGUGACUAAUUUAGAGCAAGUAGAAUCUUUAAUUGAAAACAUUAAUCAUUUGGGUUCGGGAAGUCGAAUCAUUAUAACAGCAACAGACAAACAAGUGCUUCAAAAUUGUGGAGUUAAUGAUACUAAUAUAUGUAAGAUAAAGGGGCUAUGUAGCAAUGAAGCUCUUAAGCUUUUUAGUUGGUAUGCUUUUCGACAAAAUCGUCCCAAUAUAGAUUAUGAGGAUUUGUCAAAAAGGGUAGUAAAAUAUACUAAAGGUGUUCCCUUAGCUCUUAAAGUGUUAGGCUGUUGCUUACUUGGCAAGUCAAAACAAGUUUGGGAAAGUGCAUUGAAAAAAUUUGAAAUAAUUCCACAUAAGGAUAUUCAUAAGGUACUAAAAAUAAGUUAUGAUGAACUAAAUGAUGACGAGCAGAACAUAUUUCUAGAUAUCGCAUGUUUCUUUAAAUGGGAGAAUAAAGAUUUCGUGAUUGACUUCUUGGAUGCUUGUGAUUACGAGACUGAAAUUGGACUAAGUGUUCUCAGUGAUAAGUGUCUUAUAACUGUGACAGAAGAUUACAAGAUAACAAUGCAUGAUUUGAUUCAAGAAAUGGGUUGGGAAAUAGUUCGACAAGAAUCUGCAAAAGAACUUGGUAAACGUAGUCGUUUAUGGUACCAUAAGGAUGUGUAUAGAGUAUUGGAGGAAAAUAAGAUUUCUAAUGCAAUUGAAGGCAUAUGUUUAGACAUGUCUAAACAAGGAGAGAUCAUAUACUUAGAACCUAGUGCACUAGCAAAGAUGGAUCAACUUAGACUCUUUAAGUUGCAUAAUGCGCUCAAUGAAGAGAUUGAUAUUAAUAAGGUGCAUGUUUCCCAAGAGCUUCGUUAUGUUUCGAGUAAACUACGAUACUUGUGUUGGCAUGGAUGUCCAUUGAAAUCAUUGCAGUCAAACAUUUUUCCCAAGAACCUGAUCGCCCUUGACAUGCCUCAUAGCAAUAUUAAACAACUUUGGCCUACUGUCCAGGCAUAUCAUCGAAAGGAUUUUUGUAUCUGUUUCCCUGGAAGUGAAAUUCCAGAGUGGAUGGUCUCUCAAAGUGCAGGAUCUUAUAUAACUCUAGACCUACAGGUAGAUCUUCACCCAAUGAAGUUGACUUCUUUUCUUACCUGUGUUGUUGUGGAGUUUUGAGACUAUCAUAAUAAAGGACAGGAUUUGGCGAUUGGGUUAGAGUUCUUGCUUACAAGAGAAAAUGGUAUAGUGGAUGUGUUCUAUGGAACUUUGAAGGGAUGGGAGCGUGGUACUGGACCUGACUAUGUGGACUCUGAUCAUGUAUUCUUGGGAUAUGAUUUCGCUUUUAUGUCGACAAUUAAAGAUUACAAAUAUUGUGAGAUAACCGUCCGAUUUUAUGUUGAGAAUUAUAUUACUAAAAGAGCAAAUUUUUGCAAAGUGAAAAAGUGUGGAGUUUGGGGUCCAAACUUACAGUCAAGGGAUGAGAAACCAGAGUCCAAGAAAUUGAAAACUAAAAAUUUCUAUGUUGGCGAAUCUAGCUCAAGAUAAGGUUUAUUAUCAAUGGCUCGGCAAUUGAAUCGUGGUCAAGGUAGAUGAGGUCAUGGCAGGGUUGUGGUGUUUUUGUAAAAGAUGUUGAUUACCGACAUGAUCCACGAGAAGUAGAGAUGGCAAAUUCAGGAUAUCCAAAGGCGGCUUGAGCAGGUAUAACUUUCAACAGAAUUCGAAGAGCAGGUUUCAUAAUUUUUAUAGGUAGGGGAGCUUUGAAUUUUUAUUAAUUAUGUUGAUUUCUUUGUGAAUUCUGGUAUGGGUUUCUUGAAUGUGGACGGACUACAGUCCUGUAGAAGGGUUUUCAACAAUAGUGCUAUUUGAGGUGCUUGUGUAUAUUCUUUGUUAUAAAUUCACUAUUUAGUGAUUGCUUAUGAUGUAGCACAGUAGGAAGCAUUGUGUGUGCUUUGCUGGGCAUGUGGAAGAAGUAAAAGCUGUUGCUGAAUGCUGAGGCAUCACACUCUAGAUUUUGUGAAGCUGUUGAGGCUGGAUUUCUUUCUGGAUAAAAUAAUUAUGGAGACCUAAUUCUGAAUGAAUUCCUGUUGUUCCCGUAUUUUUCUAAAAUGUAAUUUCUGAGUGGUUCCAGUAGUUAAUGUUGUAAGGUCUCAAAUGGGAAUCCUAUACUCAUCACUUUUGUAAAGCAAAUGUUGCUACUGCUCUUUCAAUCAUUAGCACUUUAAAUGGUCUGCUUGAAACUGAAGGCAAUGUAUGUAAGAGGAGAUGUAUUGCAGCUAAAGUGAUUUAGAAGCAGGGAAAAGCUGGUGUCUCUAGAGUGUGAGGGAUCCAUAUCUUGGGGAUCUAUUUUGUUUCUGUUGGUUAGGUGGCAGAGCCUCUUCAGUUCAGUCGGUGCCUUCCCCUGUUCUUGGUUGGUGCGGUUAGUGUUAGCCUCCUUGAACAUGUGGAUUUGGAAGUGACAUAUUUUACUACAACAAAAUUCUCAAAAGAAUAGUUAUUAUAGGCAAAUCCAACAAAUCUGAAAAGCUUUUAUUGCAUUUUAUGUACAGCUCCACUUUUACACCACAACUUAUGUUACAAGCAACAAAUCUGAAUUGGUGCAUGUGCCUAUCUAUGUGCAGAAAGAAUAGGAAACAAAGCAUCUUCUGCGUCAGAAACUGCAGUUUACAAACCACUGCUUAACUAUCAGCUAUCGUUCGACCAACUCAUAUAAUUUCCAAGCAAAGAAAAUUUUAUAUUAUCUGAAGUUGGAUGCUUAGCUGGCUUGGAAAUUCUUCAAUGGUGGCUACAAGUUGUUGGAGUAAUCCUUGUUUGUGGGAAUAAUCUAGAUAAUUGGUUUGAAUACUUCAUGAUACUUGUGGACCAAAUAAGAGAGGCGGUGUAUGUUUUAUUUAACACUCCUCCUUACCAACUACUCUCACAUGUUGUUGAUCUCGUAGACAGCCAUAUCAAGUUGUCUACAAUUCCGAGAUUUUUUCUUAGUGUUGCGUUCGUGUCAAUGACCAGUUUUCAGUUGACCAGCCUCAACCAGAACACCCACUCUCGCCGCUGUUCCUGUUGUUUGUGGCUGUAGAAUUAUUGAUAUUCAUGGUAGCUUCAAUAUCCACCACUGCUGCAAAAAGGGGCUUUUCAAAAGUUAUUAUAAUGGCAAAUAUUUCCAGUUUUCUUAAUUUUUGUUCAAAUUCCUUUUCAGGGUCUUGUAUUUCUGUUUGGAGUAGAUGUAAAAUUUUAGACUUGGAACAACUGUGCUUGAUAGCUCAAGGGGCCUGAUGCACCAAUUAUAGGGCUGGUUUUGUAAAGGAGUCACAUAAUCACUGGUGACGGGAGUCACUAUGUGGCUGUGAUUAUGGAGUUAAGAGGCGAGAGGAGCUAAAGUAAUUCCAAUUUUUGCUGGUGGGCUUGAUUUUCCGGGACCCGUUGAGAAGUUCUUGGUCGAUUCAGUGACGAAGUAACCAACGGUGAAUUCAGUCGUCUCGCUGACUGGUUUUGCUCUUGUGGGGUCCAGCAAGACAGGAUCAUCCCAGGGCUGUUGAGGCGCUCAUGAAGCUUGAUGUUCCUUACAUUGUUGCAUUGCCAUUAGUGUUUCAAACAACUGAGGAAUGGUUCAAUAGUACUUUGGGGCUGCACCUUAUUCAGGUAGCUUUGCAAGUUGCUGUACCAGAGCUUGAUGGAGGGAUGGAGCCGUUGUUUUCGCUGGCCGGGAUCCAAGAACUGGGAAAUCACAUGCUCUUCGCAAGAGGGUGGAGCAGCUCUGCACCAGAGCAAUCGAAUAGGCUGAGCUGAAAAGAAAGUCAAAGG
Mangifera indica (mango) is the source of this 4726-nucleotide RNA transcript. It is a transcript of the gene named disease resistance protein RPV1-like, with no coding region annotated. NCBI's taxonomy places the organism in Eukaryota, Viridiplantae, Streptophyta, Magnoliopsida, Sapindales, Anacardiaceae. The record is from RefSeq and is a predicted model, not a curated record. The transcript is spliced from 8 exons.